Molecule: ribosomal RNA, 726 nt
Filed under: Pseudomonas baetica
Lineage: Bacteria; Pseudomonadati; Pseudomonadota; Gammaproteobacteria; Pseudomonadales; Pseudomonadaceae
Description: partial 16S ribosomal RNA
Rfam family: Bacterial small subunit ribosomal RNA
Source: RNAcentral
UGGUCCCGNNUCAGAAUGANNGCGCCGGCAGGNAUAACACAUGCAAGUCGANCGGAUUAAAGNAGCUUGUUNNCNNNCAGCGGCGGACGGGUGAGUAAUGCCUAGGAAUCUGCCUGGUAGUGGGGGACAACGUUUCGAAAGGAACGCUAAUACCGCAUACGUCCUACGGGAGAAAGCAGGGGACCUUCGGGCCUUGCGCUAUCAGAUGAGCCUAGGUCGGAUUAGCUAGUUGGUGAGGUAAUGGCUCACCAAGGCGACGAUCCGUAACUGGUCUGAGAGGAUGAUCAGUCACACUGGAACUGAGACACGGUNCAGACUCCUACGGGAGGCAGCAGUGGGGAAUAUUGGACAAUGGGCGAAAGCCUGAUGCAGCCAUGCCGCGUGUGUGAAGAAGGUCUUCGGAUUGUAAAGCACUUUAAGUUGGGAGGAAGGGCAGUAAAUUAAUACUNUGCAUUUUUGACGUUACCGACAGAAUAAGCACCGGCUAACUCUGUGCCAGCAGCCGCGGUAAUACAGAGGGUGCAAGCGUUAAUCGGAAUUACUGGGCGUAAAGCGCGCNUAGGNGGUUUGUUAAGUCGGAUGUGAAAUCCCCGGGCUCAACCUGGGAACUGCAUNCAAAACUGGCAAGCUAGAGUAUGGUAGAGGGUGGUGGAAUUUCCUGUGUAGCGGUGAAAUGCGUAGAUAUANGAAGGAACACCAGUGGCGAAGGCGACCACCUGNNUNGUA